AGAGUUUGAUCCUGGCUCAGAAUGAACGUUGGCGGCGUGGAUUAGGCAUGCAAGUCGAGCGAGAACCCGCAAGGGGGACAGCGGCGAACGGGGUAGGAAUACGUAGGUAACGUACCCUCGGGGCGAGGACAGCCACGGGAAACUGUGGGUAAUACUCGAUAAACUUCCCAAUCAUUAUGGAAGGGGAAGCAAUGGGUGUGAUUCCACCUGAGGAGCGGCUUACGCAGUAUCAGCUAGUUGGUGAGGUAACGGCUCACCAAGGCUACGACGCUUAGGGGGUGUGAGAGCAUGGCCCCCACCACUGGCACUGAGACACUGGCCANACACCUACGGGUGGCUGCAGUCGAGAAUCUUCGGCAAUGCACGGAAGUGUGACCGAGCGAUACUGCGUGCAGGAAGAAGGCCUUCGGGUUGUAAACUGCUGUCGUAUGGGAAGAACUUUGACGGUACCAUACAAGAAAGGGGCGCCUAACUCUGUGCCAGCAGGCGCGGUAAUACAGAGGCCCCAAGCGUUAGCCGGAAUUAUUGGGCGUAAAGGGUCCGCAGGCGGAGUAGAGCGUCUUCUGUGAAAUCCUAUCGGCUCAACCGAGAGGCUGCAGUGGAUACGACUACUCUUGAGGCAAGGAGAGGUAAGCGGAAUUCCUAGUGGAGCGGUGAAAUGCGUUGAUAUUAGGGAGAACACCAAUUGCGAAGGCAGCUUACUGGCCUUGUCCUGACGCUCAGGGACGACAGCGUGGGGAGUGAACGGGAUUAGAUACCCCGGUAAUCCAUGCCGUAAACGUUGCAAACUAGGCAUUGGGAGUAUCGACUCUCUCAGUGUCGAAGCUAACGCGUUAAGUUUGCCGCCUGGGUAGUACGGUCGCAAGACUAAAACUCAAAGGAAUAGACGGGGGCCCGCACAAGCGGUGGAGCGUGUGGUUUAAUUCGAGGCAACGCGAAGAACCUUAUCCUGGGUUUGACAUGUACGGAUUAACCCUAUGAAAGUAGGGCCACGCUCGCAAGAGUGGAACGUGCACAGGUGCUGCAUGGCUGUCGUCAGCUCGUGUCGUGAGAUGUCGCGUUAAGUCGCUAAACGAGCGAAACCCCUAUCUUUAGUUGCCAGCGCGUCAUGGCGGGGACUCUAAAGAGACUGCCGGUGUCAAACCGGAGGAAGGCGGGGAUGACGUCAAGUCCUCAUGGCCUUUAUGCCCAGGGCUGCACACGUGCUACAAUGGGGCGUACAAAGCGCCGCGAAGUUGCGAAACCAAGCUAAUCGCAAAAAGCGUCCCCCAGUUCGGAUUGCAGGNUGCAAUUCGCNUGCAUGAAGCCGGAAUCGCUAGUAAUCNUCGAUCAGCAUUNCGGCGGUGAAUGCGUUCNUGAGCCUUGUACACACCGCCCGUCAAGCCAUNGAAAGCGGGGGGCAUCCGAAGUCNCCGACGCGAACCGCAAGGA
This 1431-nucleotide ribosomal RNA is filed under the name uncultured bacterium. Its description in RNAcentral is "16S ribosomal RNA". It matches the Rfam family "Bacterial small subunit ribosomal RNA". The record is from RNAcentral.